RNAcentral lists this ribosomal RNA (497 nucleotides) under uncultured bacterium. RNAcentral describes it as "partial 16S ribosomal RNA". It matches the Rfam family "Bacterial small subunit ribosomal RNA", at positions 28 to 507 of the family's 1533-position model. The record is from RNAcentral.
GAUGAACGCUGGCGGCGUGCCUAAUACAUGCCAGUCGAGCGAACGGACGAGAAGCUUGCUUCUCUGAUGUUAGCGGCGGACGGGUGAGUAACACGUGGAUAACCUACCUAUAAGACUGGGAUAACUUCGGGAAACCGGAGCUAAUACCGGAUAAUAUUUUGAACCGCAUGGUUCAAAAGUGAAAGACGGUCUUGCUGUCACUUAUAGAUGGAUCCGCGCUGCAUUAGCUAGUUGGUAAGGUAACGGCUUACCAAGGCAACGAUGCAUAGCCGACCUGAGAGGGUGAUCGGCCACACUGGAACUGAGACACGGUCCAGACUCCUACGGGAGGCAGCAGUAGGGAAUCUUCCGCAAUGGGCGAAAGCCUGACGGAGCAACGCCGCGUGAGUGAUGAAGGUCUUCGGAUCGUAAAACUCUGUUAUUAGGGAAGAACAUAUGUGUAAGUAACUGUGCACAUCUUGACGGUACCUAAUCAGGAAGCCACGGCUAACUACGUG